RNAcentral lists this long non-coding RNA (558 nucleotides) under Vitis vinifera (wine grape). Its description in RNAcentral is "long non-coding RNA (VVIN_LNC007756)". The record is from RNAcentral. Lineage: Eukaryota; Viridiplantae; Streptophyta; Magnoliopsida; Vitales; Vitaceae.
AACCCUCCACUUCUGCUCCUCUCUUUAUAUUCUCAUACUUUGGACGCUCAUCCUCACCUCCCAUCUUCACCUCCUGCUCUCUUUCUCUCUGUCUCUCUCUAUUUCUCUGUCUCUGAAACUUUCUUUCUCUGGAGAAGAUGAAGAUGACUUCCACUGGGUUUAAAGUUGUGAUGAUGCUGGCUUUGUUGGCCACCUCAUGCAUGGCACAAGCUCCAGGAGCAUCUCCAACACCGACACCCACACCCCCAGCGACCUCGCCUGCACCAUCAUCUCCGCCGUCCACUCCAGUUCCAUCUCCGGCACCAUCCUCUCCACCUACUUCAUCUCCAGCUCCUUCUCCCACCACUGGCUCAACCCCAUCACCCACUCCUUCUCCCUCCUCCACCUCACCUUCCACACCCCCUACUACUACACCAUCUCCUUCUCCCAGCAUCGCUUCUCCUCCGGCACCGCCGACAUCCGGUUCCCGUUCACCCCCUACUGCAACCCCUACUGAAUCACCCAACGCAGCUUCGCUGAUGGUUGGUUGAACAGAGUCGUCAUUGCCGGAACUGCCCU